AAUCAAAGCCAAACCACUGGCCAAUCGGCCGAAAAACACCACCAAAGUCUAGCGGCACUGCCGCGGCUUCCUUCGAUUUUUGCCUCUGAUGAGGCCUUUUUUGGUUCCCGUUUGAUGCAAUUUUUACACCACUGUGAUCACCAUUCGUUUCUCUACAGGUUAACCGGAGUAAAACAUCAAACCACGACUCGCGCCGGAGAAGCCGCCGCACCCGAGAGCUCUGCCACAAGUAAGUCUCAGUUUUUUGUUAUUUUUUAGCCCACCAAGGGCUUUAGGGUUGUUUUAUCACAGGAACAAAUGCAAGUUUAGCCGAAUUCGGCCGAAAACGACCUAAAACGGCCAACUCGAGGCAAAUCACUGCCACAGGCAGCGGUGUCGUCGCUGGAGCACGGCGAAACCGUCGUGCCAGAAUUCUGAUAUUGACCAAAAAGGGGCCUUGGGUUUGAUUUGGGGUUUUUGGAACACGUGCAGGUACCGGUAGUGCGUUUCAGUUUCCCGGAAAAAAUUCAGGGAAUUUAGGGACAGCCCGUAGGCGCACUGUAGAGCCGAUUUCAGACCCCGAAACAAGUAAAGAUCUCUCACCCUAUUUCCUAUCAUG
This 598-nucleotide long non-coding RNA is filed under the name Carica papaya (papaya). Its description in RNAcentral is "long non-coding RNA (CPAP_LNC013566)". The record is from RNAcentral. Lineage: Eukaryota; Viridiplantae; Streptophyta; Magnoliopsida; Brassicales; Caricaceae.